UACGAGGGGGGGCAAGUGUUGUUCGGAAUUACUGGGCGUAAAGGGAGCGUAGGCGGGCUCUUAAGUUGGAUGUUUAAAACCGGGGCCUAACCCCGGCGUGGCAUCCAAAACUGGGAGUCUUGAAUGGGACAGAGGCCAGUGGAAUUAGAGGUGUAGCGGUGGAAUGCGUAGAUAUCUCUAAGAACACCAGUUGCGAAGGCGGCUGGCUGGGUCCACAUUGACGCUGAGGCUCGAAAGCGUGGGGAGCAAACAGG
RNAcentral lists this ribosomal RNA (254 nucleotides) under uncultured bacterium. Its description in RNAcentral is "partial 16S ribosomal RNA". It matches the Rfam family "Bacterial small subunit ribosomal RNA", at positions 524 to 776 of the family's 1533-position model. The record is from RNAcentral.